Molecule: long non-coding RNA, 731 nt
Organism: Homo sapiens (human)
Lineage: Eukaryota; Metazoa; Chordata; Mammalia; Primates; Hominidae
Source: Ensembl
UUCAUCUGAGAUAAAUGCCUGUGGGACAAUUUGGAGAUGUACACCGGAGGACAGUGGGACAUGCCAUCUGGCAGUCAGGAGAGAAGGUCUAAACGAGAGGUCCAGAUUUGGAAGUGAAGACAUGGGAAACGUAAUCUAGGGCAGUGACAGGGCCUGAGGACAGGUCAGGCAGGCCAAUGUGGCAGAAGAGAAGCCAAGGUAAGGAGAAGCUCUAGAAAAGGGAUGAACAGAGGACCAAUGAGAAUGGCAGGCAGAGAUCCACAAAGUGAUCCAGAAGAUUUCUGGUCUCAAGUAUGCUGUUUACAUAAAAACGAGUUACCAGUUGUUGGUAUUAAUUCAACUCUUGGGAAAUUUAUAAUAAUGUUAUUUUAUAACAUUAUUAUAGGAUAACAAAGCAAGACAGAAAUCAAUUUAGCACAUGCAUGUUUAUCUCUUUAAUUCCUCUGUGAAUCUAACAUACAGAUGACUAGGUCCCAUAGGACACAGGAAAAAAAGCAACAUGUUGCGAACAAGUGUCAAAAUAAAGCACUGAAUUAGUCUUUAAGCCUUGCUAACCACUAAUUGAAGUAGCUUUGAUAAAAACUAUUUGAGGCCAGCACAGUGGCUCACACCUGCAAUCCCACCACUUAGGGGCAAGCAGUGAGGCUAAGGCAGAUCACUUGAGGGAAAACUGUCCUCUCUUAAAUACAUAGGACAUGAAGAGGAACUGAGUUUGCUUUCAUUAUAAACUC